GCAGGCGCUGGCCGACGCCGGCGACGACCCGGGGCUGCUGGCCCUGGUCCGCUACCAGCUGGCCUGGCGCGCCCUGGUCGUGCAGGGCGACUUCGCC
This 97-nucleotide transfer RNA is filed under the name Streptomyces spiralis. RNAcentral describes it as "tRNA-Ser". The record is from RNAcentral. Lineage: Bacteria; Bacillati; Actinomycetota; Actinomycetes; Kitasatosporales; Streptomycetaceae.